UCUCGGCAACGGAUAUCUUGGCUCUCACAUCGAUGAAGAACGUAGCGAAAUGCGAUACCUGGUGUGAAUUGCAGAAUCCCGUGAACCAUCGAGUCUUUGAAUGCAAGUUGCGUCCGAGGCCAUCCAGCCAAGGGCACGCCUGCCUAGGCAUCACG
RNAcentral lists this ribosomal RNA (155 nucleotides) under Musa troglodytarum (fe'i banana). RNAcentral's name for it is "5.8S ribosomal RNA". It matches the Rfam family "5.8S ribosomal RNA". From Rfam's summary of the family: 5.8S ribosomal RNA (5.8S rRNA) is a component of the large subunit of the eukaryotic ribosome. It is transcribed by RNA polymerase I as part of the 45S precursor that also contains 18S and 28S rRNA. Lineage: Eukaryota; Viridiplantae; Streptophyta; Magnoliopsida; Zingiberales; Musaceae. The record is from RNAcentral.